AUUGAACGCUGGCGGCAGGCCUAACACAUGCAAGUCGAACGGUAACAGGGAUCAGCUUGCUGAUUCGCUGACGAGUGGCGGACGGGUGAGUAAUGUCUGGGAAACUGCCUGAUGGAGGGGGAUAACUACUGGAAACGGUAGCUAAUACCGCAUAACGUCGCAAGACCAAAGAGGGGGACCUUCGGGCCUCUUUCCAUCGGAUUUGCCCAGAUGGGAUUAGCUAGUAGGUGGGGUAACGGCUCACCUAGGCGACGAUCCCUAGCUGGUCUGAGAGGAUGACCAGCCACACUGGAACUGAGACACGGUCCAGACUCCUACGGGAGGCAGCAGUGGGGAAUAUUGCACAAUGGGCGCAAGCCUGAUGCGGCCAUGCCGCGUGUAUGAAGAAGGCCUUCGGGUUGUAAAGUACUUUCAGCGGGGAGGAAGGGAGUAAAGUUAAUACCUUUGCUCAUUGACGUUACCCGCAGAAGAAGCACCGGCUAACUCCGUG
RNAcentral lists this ribosomal RNA (490 nucleotides) under uncultured bacterium. RNAcentral describes it as "partial 16S ribosomal RNA". It matches the Rfam family "Bacterial small subunit ribosomal RNA", at positions 30 to 507 of the family's 1533-position model. The record is from RNAcentral.